AGCACAGAAACUCCAAAGCACACAAAGAAGGAUAGUAGCCCCAAGAAUUUAAAACUACUUUCACCCCGAUUGUAUGCCUCCAGAAAUGUUUCCGAUAAAUGACAAUGUUGCCGUUUUGAGACCGUUGUUAACUACUGGCACAGAAAUGGUAAUGCCUCUGUACCGUAAUUUCUGGAACAUGUACCUCUGGAACUGAAAGACAUUUUAAAUGUCCAAAUGAUUAAACAAACCGAAAACAAAUAAAAUGGAUUAUAAGUCUCUGAAAACAAACUUGCCCUUGCUAUUCGUCAGCAGGCUCGGACACAGAAAAGUAGUAAUUAAAAACUACUCAAAUUAAACAAUAUUUAACUAACUAAACUAUUAACAACUAUAGCAAACACACUGUAAAAACUAACUGAAUGUUGGGAUCCAGGGUGGUGGGUUCUGUUGUCCUUCUUUUCUCCACUAGAGGCUGCUGUUAGGCUGCCUUACCUGAGGGCGUGAUCUGGAGCCUUUGAUUCCAGCACACCUGCGAUCAAUCUGAUCAUCUGGAGAAGGAUUUAAGCAGGGGACUGUUGGCACUUCAGUGCCAGAGUGUGAGCCAGUAUUGGUACACUAAACCCUUUGCAGCCUUUCUCUUGAUGAUAUACUUACCUGAGCUUCUAGUAAUUUAUCUUUUGCAUCUUUCUCAGGACUCAUCUGAAGAUGCUGUGGAAAUACCCACCUGGUUCCGAGUCCCUGGAUCUAUCUGUGCCUUCCUCCUUCGAGACGCUGUGGAAAAUACCCACUGGUUGCCCGAGUGCCAUAGCCACCCCUCUUGCAGUCAACUUACCUCCGUUGAUCACCAGCUGACAGUCCCGCUCCCUCCUUCUCCACCGCCACAUCUGAGCUUACCUGUUCGCCCUCUGCCGCAGCCUCUGCCUCCAGUUCUCCGCCUCUCCUCCUGGACCUCCACCCUGGUGACUACAACCAUACUCCCCCCAGGCUCAGCUCUGUUCAUCUCAAUUCUCCCUAGUUCCUGGUUGCCCCCCUGUUACCAAAGUACGUGUUUUGAAGAAAAUAAAAUCAUUUUAAUUGGGGCCUGCCCAUGCUAUGCAAGGCACGAACCUAUUCUACACCCAAUAAGGCGUUUCUUUAUUUAUUCUUCUUGCACCCCCACAAAAGUGGUAUCAAAACGCUCAGCUUGAUCUCGAAAGGAGCUAUUUUUAGUGGGGUUCGAAGUUAAAAUGGCUACAUAAAUUGAAAAAAAUGAGGCCGGGUGUCUCACAGAGAUGGGAUUCUUUCUCCCUGGCACACACAGUGGAUUUCUGACUCAAACUAUUUUUAACUUGCCCUCACGGCCACAAAUAUCGCUCUAUUGGUCUCGAAGUCGAACAUAAACAUAGAUACACAUGCCUGCUCCCGAAAAAUGUUUGUGAAAUUUUGCUAGGGCUUAUGGUUUUCUGUCAAGCGGCUUCAGACCAACGCCGAGUGUCUCGCAAAGAUAGGAACUCUUUCUCCACCUGACGGACACACCCCAGGUGCAGGUCAUUAAUUACCAUAGAAACAGCUCUGAGCUGCAGACUAUUGUCUGUCUGUGUCUCUCACUAGUAAAGAUGGCUCUUAUCAGGGGCAAGUCCAGUUUAGACGAAUUUGUAGGGCAGCACGGACGUGUUACUGGUUAAGAAUCAGAACACUGGGUCCAAAUCGACGGGCACACUUUGGGCAGGCCCUGGUUACAUUUCUUCAGGAAUUUAAUUUGUCUAUUUGAUCUGUGUUCUGCAUGUGGGUCAGAAAAUUAGAUUUGAACAUGACACUGAAUUAGAUGAAAGUCAACUAAAUAAAACUAACCUAUAAUGGAAAAAACAAAAUUAUAACCCCGAUCCACACAUUUAAUGCAAAUAAAAAUGUGCAAAUCUCCACUUUGCUAUGUGUUUUUAUUAUGAAUCAUUUUUAGUGAUAUUAAGCAGUUUAAUUGUGGAUGAAGGCCAAAUCGCAUACAAAUCUAUUGGGUUUCCUAGAUAUCCAGACGGCUACAUGGGGCCUUAGACCUAACAGGGUUUUGCUGGUUUUCCGUUUUUUAAGUUUUGUAAAGCAAAUGUAAGAAUUACUUAUUCUGAUCCCAGUCAAAAACGACUCRAUACAUCUGUGAAAAUCAACCACAUAAUGGGAAACGCAUGGUAAUUCUACCUACUAUGGUAUCUACAGUCUCCAUGUGUGAUGUUGUCCAUUACCAGCAGUCACACUGAUUCACUAACAGGAUAAUCAGUGAUCACCUCUGGGCCCGGAGAUGCUGAGCAGCCCCCUCCAGAAAGCCAUUUAUCUCGCUGGUGGGUGAGUAGUUUAUAAUUUAAUGAAUUACACCAGGAAAUAUCCACCAUAAACGAUAAGGGGCUUAAAGAACGCCCUGUUUUCUUUUUAAUCUCAAUGCCAGAGGGGGAAACCUCUGACUAUUGCUGUUAAAGCUUCAUUUUUUUCGAUACCCAGCUCGCAUGGUAAACAUUCCCCCACAGAAYGACAACUGUUGACUGUAAUGGCAAGAGGCCAACCGGCGGGGUGUAGAGCGAUUCCAGUCACCGAGGCUAACGGCUCCGACCGUAUACCCACACCGUUAAUGGACCGUGCUUCAUUUCAAUCRAGACAAAAAACAAAACGGAGAAGUUCAAUUGCAGAUCAUAAUCGCUUCUAAUCAGACACAGCACAGUGGCAGCUUUCUGUGUAAACCUGGUUCCAUUCAGUGGUUCUGCUGUGACCCGAGGAUUAGCAUGGGCGCUACACUAACGUUGUUUCUCAUGAUCAGGCCGAUCUAGGAAGAGGAGAAACUCUGUCGGCAACAACGGGGAGAAACUUAAACCUAAACACACAGCGGAGUGUUCAUUCAGGAUGGAGACGUGAAGWGAAUUCCUGCUCAGCAAAACGGAGUCCGAUUGGCCUAUUGAGCUCCAACUAUUGAUCCUCCUUCAUGCCUUUUCUCUUCCUCCUCCUCCUGCUAGCCUCCUGCUAGCUGCYGUGUCUGUGUUUUCGCAGCUUGUCUACAUCUUAACCAAUCUAUCCUCUCUCCCUCCACUCAGUUCUUGCUCCAUGUAAUUGAUUCUCCUCUCCUCUCUACUUCCUCUUGCAGUAGGAAUUUCUGCUGCCAGAUCUCCUUUGACCUCCUCACAAACUGGAGAUGGGAGAUUGAGAGCCUAUCCCAACCACAGCUUAGCACCUCCGUCUGGUUAAAGGAAACAUCCAGUACGUCAUGUAAUGCUGGCUGACUCCAGUUCUGAUUGUAAAACAGAAACCCAGUUUGAUUGUUAGCGUUAGCCUGUAUACGCUGAACAUUCAAUCUGAAUCGAGCUGUAGGUGAAAACAAUUGGUAGAAUAUGACGGAUCUUAGCCUGCCUAUUGGUAUAUUUUAAAAAAUCUGGCACAUUUGCCACGAAAGUAUUUACACUCCAUCAUUUUAUUCAUUUUAUUUGUUACRGACUAAAGACUAAAACAGGUCACUGUAGAGUUGAGGCAAAAYGGUUGCAAGGAUAUUAAAAGAUAAAAAAGAAAAGGAAUGACAUUUAUCCACUAGCUUGAGCAUUCUUCUAUUUCCUYGCAGAGAGAAAAGGAAGAGGCUGCGAGUAGCRAACACAAGCUUGAUUGACAGCGCUAAGACCUUCCUUCUGGUUCUAUUUGGUCGUUUCUGACUCAGUGUUGUAUUUCUACAGUUUGCAGUGGGAGAAGGCAGAGGAGCUCAAGUUUUUUUGCACAGAUUAGGUGUCUCAUACUAUGCUGUCACAGCACAGUGGCAAUUUCAACAAAUAUGUAAAAAAAA
Non-coding RNA from Poecilia reticulata (guppy), 3763 nucleotides. The record is from RefSeq and is a predicted model, not a curated record. NCBI's taxonomy places the organism in Eukaryota, Metazoa, Chordata, Actinopteri, Cyprinodontiformes, Poeciliidae.